UAGUAUAGUGGUUAGUACUCCACGUUGUGGCCGUGGCGACACAGGUUCGAAUCCUGN
This 57-nucleotide transfer RNA is filed under the name Gongylonema pulchrum. It matches the Rfam family "tRNA", at positions 8 to 63 of the family's 71-position model. Rfam says of the family: Transfer RNA (tRNA) molecules are approximately 80 nucleotides in length. Their secondary structure includes four short double-helical elements and three loops (D, anti-codon, and T loops). Further hydrogen bonds mediate the characteristic L-shaped molecular structure. tRNAs have two regions of fundamental functional importance: the anti-codon, which is responsible for specific mRNA codon recognition, and the 3' end, to which the tRNAs corresponding amino acid is attached (by aminoacyl-tRNA synthetases). tRNAs cope with the degeneracy of the genetic code in two manners: having more than one tRNA (with a specific anti-codon) for a particular amino acid; and 'wobble' base-pairing, i.e. permitting non-standard base-pairing at the 3rd anti-codon position. Lineage: Eukaryota; Metazoa; Nematoda; Chromadorea; Rhabditida; Gongylonematidae. The record is from Rfam by way of RNAcentral.